CCGGCCCUGCCCUGCCCUGCCCUGCCCGGCCCUGCCCUGCACUGCCCGGCCCCGCACGGGCGGCGCGAUGUGAGGCGUCCGAGCCCAGAGCCUCCGCCUGGCAUCAGCUCCACGCAGCCCAGCGCCGGCACGCGCGAGGCCCCCCUUCUGCAGAGGCCGGGCUGGAGGAGAAGAUGGCGGCCAAGCAGCCCCCGCCUCUGAUGAAGAAGCACAGCCAGACGGACCUCGUGAGCCGCCUGAAGACCCGCAAGAUCCUCGGCGUGGGCGGGGAGGAUGACGACGGGGAGGUGCAUCGCUCCAAGAUCAGCCAGGUCUUAGGCAAUGAAAUCAAGUUUACCAUUCGGGAGCCUUUGGGGCUCAGGGUCUGGCAGUUCGUCUCUGCUGUGCUCUUCUCCGGCAUUGCCAUCAUGGUGAGCCCCUACCCCCAGCCCCUGAGAUCUGGCCCUGUGUGGCUCCCUCAGCCCUUCUCUGGCUCACCAGAGGUGCCUCCUCCAUCCUGGCCCCUCGUGCAGGGGCCCAUCUCUCAGGCUCUGGGGCUGCCUCCGAGAACCUGACUCCUACACUGCCACGCCUGUGCCCUCUCCAGGAGCACACUAGAUCCCAUGGUUUGUGGCCUGACUCCUUGUCCCAGGAACCCUGGAGUUUUCUGUCCUGGCAUGGGGGCGGGUGGGGACAAUUGGGUCCAGACCCUGGACUGCCCCCAAGGAUGCUGAUCCUGCUCCUGGGGGGGAAGGAAGACGUCUGUGGGAAGCAUCAGCUGUCACCCCCCACCCUCUCCCAAGCGGGACCUCUGAGCCCCUCUCGCUGCCCGCAGGCGCUUGCCUUCCCUGACCAGCUCUAUGAUGCGGUCUUUGAUGGAGCCCAGGUGACCAGCAAGACCCCCAUCCGCCUCUACGGCGGUGCCCUCCUCAGUGAGUACUGCUGGGGCGGGCCCUGGGGGAGGCGACAGGCAGCUGGGAGACCCAGCGGGGCUGAGGAGAGCACGGGGGUCCGUGCCCGGGCACCCCUUCCUUUCUUCGGCCAGAUGCUGCAGCCCACACCCCAGCC
Molecule: small RNA, 1047 nt
Filed under: Pan troglodytes (chimpanzee)
Lineage: Eukaryota; Metazoa; Chordata; Mammalia; Primates; Hominidae
Description: retained intron
Source: RNAcentral